This 427-nucleotide ribosomal RNA is filed under the name uncultured Chlamydiae bacterium. RNAcentral describes it as "bacterial SSU rRNA". It matches the Rfam family "Bacterial small subunit ribosomal RNA", at positions 958 to 1385 of the family's 1533-position model. The record is from RNAcentral. Lineage: Bacteria; Pseudomonadati; Chlamydiota; Chlamydiia.
AACGCGAAGAACCUUACCUGGGCUCGAAAUGCAGAGGGAGAUGCCAGAAAUGGCUUCGUCCGCAAGGACUUCUGUAUAGGUGCUGCAUGGCUGUCGUCAGCUCGUGCCGUGAGGUGUUUGGUUAAGUCCAGCAACGAGCGCAACCCUUAUCAUUAGUUGCCAACACGUAAGGUGGGGACUCUAAUGAGACUGCCUAGGUUAACUAGGAGGAAGGCGAGGAUGACGUCAAGUCCGCAUGGCCUUUAUGUCCAGGGCUACACACGUGCUACAAUGGUCGGUACAGAGGGCUGCAAGACCGCAAGGUGGAGCAAAUCCCAGAAAGCCGAUCUCAGUUCAGAUUGUGGACUGCAACUCGUCCACAUGAAGUCGGAAUUGCUAGUAAUGGCGUGUCAGCAACAACGCCGUGAAUACGUUCCCGGGCCUUGUA